This 45-nucleotide non-coding RNA is filed under the name Schistosoma curassoni. Lineage: Eukaryota; Metazoa; Platyhelminthes; Trematoda; Strigeidida; Schistosomatidae. The record is from RNAcentral.
AUCCAGAUGACGAGUCUGAAAUAGGACGAAACGUACGUCCUGGAU